Molecule: ribosomal RNA, 496 nt
Filed under: uncultured bacterium
Lineage: Bacteria
Description: partial 16S ribosomal RNA
Rfam family: Bacterial small subunit ribosomal RNA
Source: RNAcentral
GAUGAACGCUGGCGGCGUGCCUAAUACAUGCAAGUCGAGCGAACAGACGAGGAGCUUGCUCCUCUGACGUUAGCGGCGGACGGGUGAGUAACACGUGGAUAACCUACCUAUAUGACUGGGAUAACUUCGGGACACCGGAGCUAAUACCGGAUAAUAUAUUGAACCGCAUGGUUCAAUAGUGACUGACGGUUUUGCUGUCACUUAUAGAUGGAUCCGCGCCGCAUUAGCUAGUUGGUAGGGUAACGGCUUACCAAGGCGACGAUGCGUAGCCGACCUGGGAGGGUGAUGGGCCACGCUGGAACUGAGACACGGCCCAGACGCCAACGGGAGGCGGCCGAGGGGAAUCUCCGCAAUAGGCGAAAGCCAGACGGAGCAACGCCGCGUGAGUGAUGAAGGUCUUCGGAUCGUAAAACUCUGUUAUUAGGGAAGAACAAAUGUGUAAGUAACUAUGCACGUAUUGACGGUACCUAAGCAGAAAGCCACGGCUAACUACGUG